RNAcentral lists this ribosomal RNA (422 nucleotides) under uncultured bacterium. Its description in RNAcentral is "bacterial SSU rRNA". It matches the Rfam family "Bacterial small subunit ribosomal RNA", at positions 8 to 433 of the family's 1533-position model. The record is from RNAcentral.
AGAGUUUGAUCCUGGCUCAGGAUAAACGCUGGCGGUGUGCCUUAUGCAUGCAAGUCGAGCGGUUCUUCCCGCAAGGGAAGGAUAGCGGCAAACGGGUGUGUAAUACGUAAGUAACCUACCCCUAAGUGUGGAACAACUCUGAGAAAUCGGGGCUAAUACCGCGUGUGGUUCUUAACCGCGAGGUGGAGAAUUAAAGCCUUCGGGCGCUUGGGGAGGGGCUUACGUCCUAUCAGGUAGUUGGUGGGGUAACGGCUUACCAAGCCGAUGACGGGUAGCUGGUCUGAGAGGAUGGUCAGCCACACUGGGACUGAGACACGGCCCAGACUCCUACGGGAGGCAGCAGCAAGGAAUAUUGUGCAAUGGGCGAAAGCCUGACACAGCGACACCGCGUGAGGGACGAAGGCCUUCGGGUCGCCAUGCUU